GGGGUUGUGGCUCAGAGGUAGAGUGCUCGCCUGCCAUGUGUGAGGCGCUGGGUUCAAUCCUCAGCAACACAU
Molecule: transfer RNA, 72 nt
Filed under: Marmota monax (woodchuck)
Lineage: Eukaryota; Metazoa; Chordata; Mammalia; Rodentia; Sciuridae
Rfam family: tRNA
About the family: Transfer RNA (tRNA) molecules are approximately 80 nucleotides in length. Their secondary structure includes four short double-helical elements and three loops (D, anti-codon, and T loops).
Source: Rfam by way of RNAcentral